CAGCCGCCACGGUAAUACGUAGGUGGCAAGCGUUGUCCGGAAUUAUUGGGCGUAAAGGGCUCGCAGGCGGUUUCUUAAGUCUGAUGUGAAAGCCCCCGGCUCAACCGGGGAGGGUCAUUGGAAACUGGGAAACUUGAGUGCAGAAGAGGAGAGUGGAAUUCCACGUGUAGCGGUGAAAUGCGUAGAGAUGUGGAGGAACACCAGUGGCGAAGGCGACUCUCUGGUCUGUAACUGACGCUGAGGAGCGAAAGCGUGGGGAGCGAACAGGAUUAGAUACCCCAGUAGUCCCUGUCUCUUAUAA
Molecule: ribosomal RNA, 301 nt
Filed under: uncultured bacterium
Lineage: Bacteria
Description: partial 16S ribosomal RNA
Rfam family: Bacterial small subunit ribosomal RNA
Source: RNAcentral